RNAcentral lists this ribosomal RNA (292 nucleotides) under uncultured bacterium. RNAcentral's name for it is "partial 16S ribosomal RNA". It matches the Rfam family "Bacterial small subunit ribosomal RNA", at positions 505 to 796 of the family's 1533-position model. The record is from RNAcentral.
GUGCCAGCAGCCGCGGUAAUACGGAGGAUCCGAGCGUUAUCCGGAUUUACUGGGUUUAAAGGGUGCGUAGGCGGCUCCCUCAGUCAGCGGUGAAAUGUGUCGGCUCAACCGACAACCUGCCGUUGAUACUGGGGAGCUUGAGUUGGGUUGAGGCAGGCGGAAUGUGCGGUGUAGCGGUGAAAUGCAUAGAUAUCGCACAGAACGCCGAUUGCGUAGGCAGCUUGCCAAGCCCACACUGACGCUGAGGCACGAAAGCGUGGGGAUCAAACAGGAUUAGAAACCCCCGUAGUCC